RNAcentral lists this long non-coding RNA (16659 nucleotides) under Triticum aestivum (bread wheat). RNAcentral describes it as "long non-coding RNA (TAES_LNC019973)". The record is from RNAcentral. Lineage: Eukaryota; Viridiplantae; Streptophyta; Magnoliopsida; Poales; Poaceae.
CGUGCGUUUGACGAGCUCUGCCCCUUCGUUCGUGGGUGAGCACAAAUGACAAGUCCUCCUCCCCCAUUAAUUAUUUGAUCUAUUCCGAUGAAACUUGAUAGCUAGCUAUAUAUGUGUCUUGAAUCAUCAGUAUGCGUAACCAAUAUGUGUCUCCCGUUCGAAAGCGUCAUAGUUAUAAAUAUGCAUGCAUUUGCAUAUUUAUAACCUUGAUUCUUUCGAAUUGUCCAACGCUAUCCAUGGACAGCCCGAGUAUGUGUAGAUUGGGUUCGUUUUUGAAGGAAAUAUGCCCUAGAGGCAAUAAUAUAGUUAUUAUUUAUUUCCUUAUUUCAUGAUAAAUGUUUAUUAUUCAUGCUAGAAUUGUAUUAACCGGAAACAUAAUACAUGUGUGGAUAGAUAGACAAACAGAGUAUCACUAGUAUGCCUCUACUUCACUAGCUUGUUAAUCAAAGAUGGUUAAGUUUCCUAACCAUAGACAAAGGAGUUGUCAUUUGAUUAACAAGGUCACAUCAUUGGUUGAAUGAUCUGAUUGACAUGACCUAAUCCAUUAGCUUAGCACUCGAUCGUUUAGUAUGUUGCUAUUGCUUUUAUCCAUGACUUAUACAUGUUCCUUUAACUAUGAGAUUAUGCAACUCCCGUUUGCCGGAGGAACACUUUGGGUACUACCAAACGUCACAACGUAACUGGGUGAUUAUAAAGGAGUACUACAGGUGUCUCCAAAGGUAGAUGUUGGGUUGGCGUAUUUCGAGAUUAGGAUUUGUCACUCCGAUUGUCGGAGAGGUAUCUCUGGGCCCUCUCGGUAAUGCACAUCACAUAAGCCUUGCAAGCAUUGCAACUAAUGUGUUAGUUGUGAGAUGAUGUAUUACGGAACGAGUAAAGAGACUUACCGGUAACGAGAUUGAACUAGGUAUUGGAUACCGACGAUCGAAUCUCGGGUAAGUAACAUACCGAUGACAAAGGGAACAAACGUAUGUUGUUAUGCGGUCUGACCGAUAAAGAUCUUCGUAGAAUAUGUAGGAGCCAAUAUGGGCAUCCAGGUCCCGCUAUUGGUUAUUGACCGGAGACGUGUCUCGGUCAUGUCUACAUUGUUCUUGAACCGUAGGGUCCGCACGCUUAAGGUUUCGAUGACGGUUAUAUUAUGAGUUUAUGUAUUUUGAUGUACCGAAGGAGUUCGGAGUCCCGGAUGAGAUCGGGGACAUGACGAGGAGUCUCGAAAUGGUCGAGACGUAAAGAUCGGUAUAUUGGGCGACUAUAUUCGGACAUCGGAAAGGUUCUGAGUGGUUCGGGUAUUUUCGGAGGUACCGGGGAGUUACGGAAAUACGGGGAAGAGUAUUGGGCCUUAUUGGGCCAUACGGAAAUAGAGGGAAAAGGUGGAAAGGAAGGAGGCGCGCAGCCCCCCUCUGGUCCGAAUUGGACAAGGGGUGCGGCCCCCCUUUCCUUCCUCCUCUCCCCUUCUUUCCCCCUUCUCCUACUCCAACAAGGAAGGAGGGAGUCCUACUCCCGGUGGGAGUAGGACUCCCCUUGGCGCGCCGCCUCCUAGGCCGGCCGCCCCCUCCCCCUUGCUCCUUUAUAUACGGGGGCAGGGGGGCACCCCAUCACACACAAGUUGAUCUUCGUGAUCGUUCCUUAGCCGUGUGCGGUGCCCCCCUCCACCAUAUUCCACCUCGAAUAUAUCGUUGCAGUGCUUAGGCGAAGCCCUGCGCCGGUAGAACAUCAAGAUUGUCACCACGCCGUCAUGCUGACGGAACUCCUCCCCGAAGCUUUGCUGGAUCGGAGCUAGGGGCGCGUCAUCGAGCUGAACGUGUGCCAAGAACUCGGAGGUGCCGGAGUAACGGUACUUGGAUCAGUCGGAUCGGGAAGACGUACGACUACUUCCUCUACGUUGUGUCAACGCUUCCGCUCCGGUCUACGAGGGUACGUAGACAACACUCUCCCCUCUCGUUGUUAUGCAUCACCAUGAUCUUGCGUGUGCGUAGGAAAUUUUUUGAAAUUACUACGUUUCCAACAGUGGCAUCCGAGCCUAGGUUUUUAUGGUUUGAUGUUAUUUGCACGAGUAGAACACAAGUGAGUUGUGGACAAUACAAGUCAUACUGCCUACCAGCAUGUCAUACUUUGGUUCAGCGGUAUUGUUGGAUGAGAUGACCCGGACCAACCUUACGCGUACGCUUACGCGAGACCGGUUCCCUCGACGUGCUUUGCACACAGAUGGCUUGCGGGAGACAUCUCACCAACUUUAGUUGAACCAAGUGUGGCUACGCCCGGUCCUUGAGAAGGUUAAAACGGAGUCUAUUUGACAAACUAUCGUUGUGGUUUUGAUGCGUAGGUAAGAUGAGUUCUUGCUUAAGCCCGUAGCAGCCAUGUAAAACUUGCAACAAACAAAGUAGAGGACGUCUAACUUGUUUUUGCAGGGCAUGUUGUGAUGUGAUAUGGUCAAGACAUGAUGCUAAAUUUUAUUGUAUGAGAUGAUCAUGUUUUGUAACCGAGUUAUCGGCAACUGGCAGGAGCCAUAUGGUUGUCGCUUUAUUGUAUGCAAUGCAAUCGCCCUGUAAUGCUUUACUUUAUCACUAAGCGGUAGCGAUAGUCGUAGAAGCAUAAGAUUGGCGAGACGACAAUGAUGCUACGAUGGAGAUCAAGGUGUCGCGUCGGUGACGAUGGUGAUCAUGAUGGUGCUGCAGAGAUGGAGAUCAUGAAGCACAAGAUGAUGAUGACCAUAUCAUAUCACUUAUAUUGAUUGCAUGUGAUGUUUAUCUUUUUAUGCAUCUUAUUUUGCUUUUAUUGACGGUAGCAUUAUAAGAUGAUCUCUCAUUAAUUAUCAAGAAGUGUUCUCCCCGAGUAUGCACCGUUGCCAAAGUUCGUCGUGCCCAGACACCACGUGAUGAUCGGGUGUGAUAAGCUCUACGUCCAUCUACAACGGGUGCAAGCCAGUUUUGCACACGCAGAAUACUCGGGUUAUACUUGACGAGCCUAGCAUAUGCAGAUAUGGCCUCGGAACACGGAGACCGAAAGGUCGAGCGUGAAUCAUAUAGUAGAUAUGAUCAACAUGAUGAUGUUCACCAUUGAGAACUAAUCCAUUUCACGUGAUGAUCGGUUAUGGUUUAGGUUGAUUUGGAUCACGUGAUCACUUAGAAGAAUAGAGGGGUGUAUAUCUAAGUGGGAGUUCUUAAGUAAUAUGAUUAAUUGAACUUUAAUUUAUCAUGAACUUAGUCCUGGUAGUAUUAGCAUAUCUAUGUUGUAGAUCAAUAGCUCGCGUUGUUGCUUUCAUAUGUUUAUUUUGAUAUGUUCCUAGAGAAACUUGUGCUGAAAUAUGUUAGUAGCAAUGAUGCGGAUUGGAUCCGUGAUCUGAGGUUUAUCCUCAUUGCUGCACAGAAGAAUUAUGUCCUUGAUGCACCGCUAGGUGACAGACCUAUUGCAAGAGCAGAUGCAGACGUUAUGAACGUUUGGCUAGCUCAAAAUGAUGACUACUUGAUAGUUUAAGUGCACCAUGCUUAACGGCUUAGAAUCGGGACUUCAAAGACGUUUUGAACGUCAUGGACCAUAUGAGAUGUUCCAGGAGUUGAAGUUAAUAUUUCAAGCAAAUACCCGAGUUGAAGAGAUAUGAAGUCUCCAACAAGUUCUAUGGCUAAAAGAUGGAGGAGAAUCGCUCAACUAGUGAGCAUGUGCUCAGAUUGUCUGGGUACUACAAUCGCUUGAAUCAAGUGGGAGUUAAUCUUCCAGAUAAGAUAGUGAUUUACAGAAUUCUCUAGUCACCAUCACCAAGUUAGUAGAACUUCGUGAUGAACUAUAGUAUGCAAGGGAUGACGAAAACGACUCCCGAGCUUUUCAUGAUGAUGAAAUCGGCGAAUGUAGAAAUCAAAGAAAAACAUCAAGUGUUGAUGGUUGACAAGAUCACUAGUUUCAAGAAAAAGGGCAAAAGGCAGAAGGAGAACUUCAAGAAGAACGGCAAAGUAAGUUGCUGCUCAAGUGAAGAAGCCCAAGUCUGAUCCUAAGCCUGAGACUAAGUGCUUCUACUACAAAGGGACUGGUCACUGGAAGCGGAACUACCCCAAGUAUUUGGCGGAUAAGAAGGAUGGCAAAGCGAACAAAAGUAUAUUUGAUAUACAUGUCAUUGAUGUGUACUUUACUAGUGUUCAUAGCAACCCCUCGGUAUUUGAUACUGGUACAGUUGCUAAGAGUAGUAACUCGAAACGGGAGUUGCAGAAUGAACAGAGACUAGUUAAGGGUGAAGUAACGAUGUGUGUUGGAAGUAGUUCCAAGGUUGAUAUGAUCAUCAUCGCACUCUCCCUAUACUUUCGGGAUUAGUGUUGAAACUAAAUAAGUGUUAUUUGGUGUUUGCGUUGAGCAUGAAUAUGAUUUGAUCAUGUCUAUUGCAAUACGGUUAUUCAUUUAAGUUAGAGAACAAUUGUUGUUCUGUUUACAUGAGUAAAACCUUCUAUGGUUAUACACACCAACGAAAUGGUUUGUUGGAUCUCGAUCGUAGUGAUACACAUAUUCAUAAUAUUGAAGCCAAAAGAUGCAAAGUUAAUAAUGAUAAGUGCAACUUAUUUGUGGCACUGCCGUUUAGGUCAUAUUGGUGUAAAGCGCAUGAAGAAACUCCAUGCUGAUGGGCUUUUGGAAUCACUUGAUUAUGAAUAACUUUGAUGCUUGCGAACCAUGCCUCAUGGGCAAGAUGACUAAAACGCCGUUCUCCGGAACAAUGAAGCAAGCAACAGAUUUGUUGGAAAUCAUACAUACUGAUGUAUGUGGUCCGAUGAAUAUUAAGGCUUGCAGCAGGUAUCAUUAUUUUCUGACCUUCACAGAUGAUUUGAGCAGAUAUGGGUAUAUCUACUUGAUGAAACAUAAGUCUGAAACAUUUGAAAAGUUCAAAGAAUUUCAGAGUGUAGUGGAAAAUCAUCGUGACAAGAAAAUAAGGUUUCUACGAUCUGAUCGCGGAGACAAAUAUUUGAGUUACGAGUUUGGUCUUCAAUUAAAACAAUGUGGAAUAGUUUCACAAACUCAUGCCACCUGGAACACCAUAGCAUAAUGGUGUGUCCGAACGUCAUAACCGUACUUUAUUGGAUAUAGUGCAAUCUAUGAUGUCUCUUACCGAUCUACCACUAUCGUUUUGGGGUUAUGCAUUAAAGACAGCUGCAUUCACGUUAAAAGGGCACCAUCUAAGUCCGUUGAGAUGACACAAUCUGAACUGUGGUUUGGCAAGAAACCAAAGUUGUCGUUUCUUAAAGUUUGGGAUUGUGAUGCUUAUAUGAAAAAGUUUCAUCCUGAUAAGCUCAAACCCGAAUCGGAGAAAUAUGUCUUCAUAGGAUACCCAAAGGAGACUUUUGGGUACACCUUCUAUCACAGAUCCGAAGGCAAGACUUUCGUUGCUGAGAAUGGAUCCUUUCCAGAGAAGGAGUUUCUCUCGAAAGAAGUGAGUGGGAGGAAAGUAGAAAACUUGAUAAGGUAAUUAUACCUUCUCCCUUAUUGGAAAAAAGUUCAUCACAGAAAUCUGUUCUUGUGACUACUACACCAAUUAGUGAGGAAGCUAAUGAUGAUGAUCAUAUAACUUCAGAUCAAGUUACUACCGAAUCUCGUAGGUAAACCAGAGUGAGAUCCGCACCAGAGUGGUACGGUAAUCCUGUUCUGGAGGUCAUGUUACUUGACCAUGACGAACCUGCGAACUAUGAGGAAGCGAUGAUGAGCCCAGAUUCCGCGAAAUGGUUUGAGGCCAUGAAAUCUGAGAUAUGAUCCAUGUAUGAGAACAAAGUGUGGACUUUGGUUAACUUGCCCGAUGAUCAGCAAGCCAUAGAAAAAUAAAUGGAUCUUCAAGAGGAAGACGGACGCUGAUAGUAGUACUAUCUACAAAGCUAGACUUGUCGAAAAAGGUUUUUGACAAAGUUCAAGGUGUUGACUAUGAUGAGAUUUUCUCACUCGUAUCGAUGCUUAAAGUCUGUCCGAAUCAUGUUAGCAACUGCCGCAUUUUAUGAAAUUUGGCAAAUGGAUAACGAAACUGCAAUCCUUAAUGGAUUUCUUAAAGAAGAGUUGUAUAUGAUGCAACCAGAAAGUUUUGUCAAUCCUUAAGGUGCUAACAAAAUAUGCAAGCUCCAGCGAUCCAUCUAAUGGACUGGUGCAAGCAUCUCGGAGUUGGAAUACACGCUUUGAUAAGUUGAUCAAAGCAUAUAGUUUUAUACAGACUUGCGGUGAAGCCUGUAUUUACAAGAAAGUGAGUGGGAGCACUACAACAUUUCUGAUAAGUAUAUGUGAAUGACAUAUUGUUGAUCAGAAAUAAUGUAGAAUUAUUCUGUAAAGCACAAAAGAGUGUUUGAAAGGAGUUUUUCAAAGGAAGACCUCGGUGAAGCUACUUACAUAUUGAGCAUCAAGAUCUAUAGAGAUAGAUCAAGACGCUUGAUAAGUUUUUUCAAUGAGUACAUACCUUGACAAGAUUUUGAAGUAGUUCAAAAUGGAACAGUCAAAGAAAGAGUUCUUACCUGUGUUACAAGGUGUGAAAUUGAGUAAGACUCAAAGCCCGACCAUGGCAGAAGAUAGAAAGAGAAUGAAAGUCAUUUCCUAUGCCUCAGCCAUAGGUUCUAUAAAGUAUGCCAUGCUAUGUACCAGAUCUAUUGUAUACCCUACACUGAUUUUGGCGAGGGAGUACAAUAGUGAUCUAGGAGUAGAUCACUGGACAUCGGUCAAAAUUAUCCUUAGUGGAAUAAGGAUAUGUUUCUCGAUUAUGGAGGUGACAAAAAGGUUCGCCGUAAAGGGUUACGUCGAUGCAAGUUUUGACACAAAUCAAGAUGACUCUAAGUCUCGAUCUAGAUACAUAUUGAAAGUGGGAGCAAUUAGCUAGAGUAGCUCCAUGUUCCGAGCAGAGCAUUGUUGACAUAGAAUUUGCAAAAUACAUGCGGACCUGAAUGUGGCAGACCCGUUGACUAAAAUUCUCUCACAAGCAAAACAUGAUCACACCUUAGUACUCCUUGGGUGUUAAUCACAUAGCGAUGUGAACUAGAUUGCUGAAUCUAUUAAACCCUUUGGGUGUUGGUCACAUGUCGAUGUGAACUAUGGGUGUUAAUCACAUGAUGAUGUGAACUAUCGAUGUUAAUCACAUGGUGAUGUGAUCUAGAUUAUUGACUCUAGUGCAAGUGGGAGACUGAAGGAAAUAUGCCCUAGAGGCAAUAAUAAAGUUAUUAUUUAUUUCCUUAUUUCAUGAUAAAUGUUUAUUAUUCAUGCUAGAAUUGUAUUAACCGGAAACAUAAUACAUGUGUGGAUAUAUAGACAAACAGAGUGUCACUAGUAUGCCUCUACUUGACUAGCUUGUUAAUCAAAGAUGGUUACGUUUCCUAACCAUAGACAAAGGAGUUGUCAUUUGAUUAACAAGGUCACAUCAUUGGUUGAAUGAUCUGAUUGACAUGACCCAAUCCAUUAGCUUAGCACUCGAUCGUUUAGUAUGUUGCUAUUGCUUUUAUCCAUGACUUAUACAUGUUCCUUUAACUAUGAGAUUAUGCAACUCCCGUUUGCCGGAGGAACACUUUGGGUAAUACCAAACGUCACAACGUAACUGGGUGAUUAUAAAGGAGUACUACAGGUGUCUCCAAAGGUAGAUGUUGGGUUGGCGUAUUUCGAGAUUAGGAUUUGUCACUCCGAUUGUCGGAGAGGUAUCUCUGGGCCCUCUCGGUAAUGCACAUCACAUAAGCCUUGCAAGCAUUGCAACUAAUGUGUUAGUUGUGAGAUGAUGUAUUACGGAACGAGUAAAGAGACUUACCGGUAACGAGAUUGAACUAGGUAUUGGAUACCGACGAUCGAAUCUCGGGUAAGUAACAUACCGAUGACAAAGGGAACAAACGUAUGUUGUUAUGCGGUCUGACCGAUAAAGAUCUUCGUAGAAUAUGUAGGAGCCAAUAUGGGCAUCCAGGUCCCGCUAUUGGUUAUUGACCGGAGACGUGUCUCGGUCAUGUCUACAUUGUUCUCAAACCGUAGGGUCCGCACGCUUAAGGUUUCGAUGACGGUUAUAUUAUGAGUUUAUGUAUUUUGAUGUACCGAAGGAGUUCGGAGUCCCGGAUGAGAUCGGGGACAUGACGAGGAGUCUCGAAAUGGUCGAGACGUAAAGAUCGGUAUAUUGGACGACUAUAUUCGGACAUCGGAAAGGUUCUGAGUGGUUCGGGUAUUUUCGGAGGUACCGGGGAGUUACGGAAAUACGGGGAAGAGUAUUGGGCCUUAUUGGGCCAUACGGAAAUAGAGGGAAAAGGUGGAAAGGAAGGAGGCGCGCAGCCCCCCUCUGGUCCGAAUUGGACAAGGGGUGCGGCCCCCCUUUCCUUCCUCCUCUCCCCUUCUUUCCCCCUUCUCCUACUCCAACAAGGAAGGAGGGAGUCCUACUCCCGGUGGGAGUAGGACUCCCCUUGGCGCGCCUCCUCCUAGGCCGGCCGCCCCCUCCCCCUUGCUCCUUUAUAUAUGGGGGCAGGGGGGCACCCCAUCACACACAAGUUGAUCUUCGUGAUCGUUCCUUAGCCGUGUGCGGUGCCCCCCUCCACCAUAUUCUACCUCGUAUAUAUCGUUGCAGUGCUUAGGCGAAGCCCUGCGCCGGUAGAACAUUAAGAUCGUCACCACGCCGUCGUGCUGACGGAACUCCUCCCCGAAGCUUUGCUGGAUCGGAGCUAGGGGCGCGUCAUCGAGCUGAACGUGUGCCAAGAACUCGGAGGUGCCGGAGUAACGGUACUUGGAUCGGUCGGAUCGGGAAGACGUACGACUACUUCCUCUACGUUGUGUCAACGCUUCCGCUCCGGUCUACGAGGGUACGUAGACAACACUCUCCCCUCUCGUUGCUAUGCAUCACCAUGAUCUUGCGUGUGCGUAGGAAUUUUUUUGAAAUUACUACGUUUCCAACAGUUUUCCCAUAUGCUUUGCUCCGGAUCUGACGCAUAUAUUUCGUCAGUGCCUCCCCUGUUGUUCUCCGGGUACACAUCCUCUCUGUUUAUUGCAGAGACGUGUAUCAGGAGAACAGCGGGGAGGUGCUGCCGAAAUUUUGCGUCGGAUCCGGAGCAUAGCAUGGGAAAAUGAACCCAAUCUACACAUACACGGGUGGGAUUAAGACCUAUCAUUACCUAUUAGAGUGUAGGUUGCAUGGACGUAAUAAAAUUGACAAAGUAGAUCAACUGAUGAAUAUAUACAUGGUGAAUUACAUAUAUAAUUGUUGUGUGUCCAGUAGCUCUGAAAGUCAAGAUGAGUGACCGUGCUUGGAUGUAUACCGGUCACACUGGUCAGAACAAAUGGAGCGCUGAAUGGUUCACAAAAACUAAGGGGUUUGUGCAAGCCGCAUUUGCAAAUGGCCAAAAGAAAACCUGGUGCCCCUGUUUCCGGUGCGGCAAUUGGGAAAAGAAGACAUAGGCUGAAAUGGGCAAACACCUGCAGAAGAGUGGUUUUACGCCCGAUUAUACGGUGUGGACAUUUCAUGGUGAGUCUGCCCAACGUGACCGAGCUGAGGUGGAUCAUCGUCGCACCGACGAGCAUGGUACCGGGAUGGAAAACAUGGUGCAAGACUAUGAUGAUGCUCGGGAUUCGGACGAGGAGAUGGAGGAAUCUGCAAAGGCCUUCAAUGAAAUGUUGGAGUCUUCGAAACGUCCGCUCCACGAGCACACUGAGCUUUGUCAGUUGGAUGCCAUCUCACAAGUAAUGGCUCUGAAGGCUCAGUUCAACUUGGGCAGAGAAUGCUAUGACGCAAUUAUGACAGUAUUUGGACGCUUUCUACCCAAAGGCCAUGUAAUGCCUGCAAACCUGUACCAGUCGGACAAAAUCCUCCGUGCACUGAAGAUGCCCUAUGAGAAGAUACAUGCCUGUGAGAAAGGAUGUGCCUUAUUUAGGCUUGACUAUGCGAACUUGAACUAUUGUCCCAUUUGCAAGUCUUCAAGGUAUAUUGUGGUAGACAACGGUAUGGGUGAGAAGACACAGACCAAAAUCCCCGUUAGUGUUCUUCGGUAUAUGCCAAUCGUACCAAGACUUCAACGUCUUUUCAUGGUCGAAGAGACGGCCAGACAGAUGACAUGGCACAAAACAGGCAAAAGAACCGAACUAGAUGCAGAUGGGAAUCUGAUGAUGGUACACACAUCGGAUGGUNNNNNNNNNNNNNNNNNNNNNNNNNNNNNNNNNNNNNNNNNNNNNNNNNNNNNNNNNNNNNNNNNNNNNNNNNNNNNNNNNNNNNNNNNNNNNNNNNNNNNNNNNNNNNNNNNNNNNNNNNNNNNNNNNNNNNNNNNNNNNNNNNNNNNNNNNNNNNNNNNNNNNNNNNNNNNNNNNNNNNNNNNNNNNNNNNNNNNNNNNNNNNNNNNNNNNNNNNNNNNNNNNNNNNNNNNNNNNNNNNNNNNNNNNNNNNNNNNNNNNNNNNNNNNNNNNNNNNNNNNNNNNNNNNNNNNNNNNNNNNNNNNNNNNNNNNNNNNNNNNNNNNNNNNNNNNNNNNNNNNNNNNNNNNNNNNNNNNNAAUUGCAAGAAGCCUGGGAUAAUGGGUUCAAGACAUACGACGCCUUUAGCAAACGGAACUUCAUAAUGCGUGUCUGGUACAUGUACUCGACGCAUGACUUGCCGGCGUAUGCGCUAUUCGUUGGCUGGUGUGUGCAUGGAAGGUUCUCGUGCCCCACAUGCAAGGGAGCUCUUGAGUUUCGUUGGCUUCAGGCCGGUCGCAAGUUUUCUUGCUUCGACAUGCAUAGACAGUUCCUGGAUCCUCGCCAUAAGUUCAGGAAAGACAAGAAGAACUUCAUCAGGGGUAGAGUUGUCAAAAACUCUGCACCACCUGCAUUGACAGGCCAACAGACCCUGGAUCAGUUAGACGCUCUCGAGCCAGAUCCACAACGUCCAGGGUACUUCAAGGGGUAUAAUACUAAGCACGCGUGGACUCACAAAACAUGCUUACGGGAUCUGCCUUACUUUAAAGACCUCCUUUGCCCACACAACAUCGACGUGAUGCACACUGAGAAGAAUAUCGCCGAGGCACUUUUUGGUACAUUGUUUGGCAUAGAUGGGAAGUCAAAGGAUAAUACUAAGGCCAGAGUCGAUUUGGAUGCGCUAUGUGAUAGGCCGUUACAAAACAUGAAAGAACCGAAAGGAAAGCAGAACUGGACGAAGCCAAAGGCAUGGUUCAAUCUUGGAAGGCCAGCUAUGAGGGAAAUUCUCUUGUGGGUGCAACAGCAGUUGAUGUUUCCCGAUGGGUAUGCAGCGAAUCUAAAGAGGGGAGCGAAUCUUGAUAAACUGAAGAUAUUUGGUCUCAAGAGUCAUGAUUGGCACAUAUGGAUUGAGCGGGUAAUGCCGGUGAUGUUGCGUGGCUUCAUCCCUGAGGAUGAAUGGCUAGUACUGGCAGAACUCAGCUAUUUCUUCCAUGUUCUUUGUGCGAAAAAACUAUCGCCUGGCGUGCUAGAAGAAAUGGAAGAGUUGGCGCCGGAGUUGAUCUGCAAGUUAGAGAAGAUCUUUCCACCGGGCUUCUUUAAUCCAAUGCAGCAUUUGAUUUUGCAUCUCCCGACCGAGGCAAGAUUGGGGGGGGGCCGUGCAAAAUCGUUGGUGCUACCCAACUGAGAGGAUGCAGAAGACGCUUCGAGAAAAAUGUAAAAAUAAACAUAGAAUUGAAGCAUCGAUGGCUGAGGCAUUCAUUACAGAGGAGGCGGCAAACUUCGUAACAGCGCACUACGAAGCCAAAAAUCGUCAUUUGCAUAAUCCGAAGCCUCGGUACAAUGCUGACGAGCCUAAAAAGGGUGGAUCCAACCUCAGCCUAUUCAAAGGGAAUCUCGCACCAGCUAGUGUUUCACAUCCAGUAUCUUUGGAUAACGAAGAAUGGUGGACCAUUUCGUUGUAUAUCUUCAACAACCUGAUAGAAGUGCGGCCGUACAUUGAGUAAGUUCUCGGUACAUUGUUUCGCAACUUCUAUUUCCUUUGAACUACUCUUAUUCCUGGAUAUGGCAUACAGUCGAUACGUUACCAUAUUCUCGUAUGGAGCGGAGAUCCAAAAGGAUUCCGUCGAAGAGUAUGAGCUUCUCGCAAAGCUAGGAGGUGGCUAUCCCGGUUUCAUCUCUUGGUUCAAACAAACGGUAAUUUCUAUUAGACAAUUUCAUUUCAUUCGCUAAUUUGUGCAUAAUGCAACAAUCCUUUCAUAUUAAACCUGUAGGCUAAUUCAGAGUCUAUGGACGCCGAAUUGAGACAAGUCGCUAACGGUUUUGACUAUAAGGUCCGUUCAUUUGACAAGUACGACAUCAACGGGUAUCACUUUCGUACCUAUGGCAAAGAGCUAUCGAUGGCGGACCGAAAGUCAACAAAUUGUUGUGUAUCUGCUAUCGGUGAAGGAGGUACCGAGUAUUAUGGGAGAGUUGAAGCAAUUUAUGAACUUCUGUUCUAUGGUGAAAACCCACCGAAUGUCGUAGUCUUCAAAUGUUAUUGGUUUCAGCCUAAGGAGACUAGAAGGACUCAUGAACAUGUAGGGCUAGUUGAAAUCAACCAAAGCACUCAUUUAGAUGUUCCUAAUGUCUAUAUUAUGGCUCAACAGGCGACCCAAGUAUUCUAUCUACCGUGGGCCUGCCAAACUAAUCCAAAUCUGAAAGGUUGGGAUGUCGUUUAUGAAGUGCCGCCACGUGCUUGACUUUCUCCCCCAAAGGAAGAGGAUUAUGAACCUCACAUUAACCCAGACACAUAUGAAGGAGAAUUCUUCCAAGAGACGCGUCUUUCCAAAAAGCGUUUCAAGAACCGCUAUAUACUUCACCCCAAAACAUUGAAGUAGACAGCGACAAUGAAUCCGACAUCACCCCAGAGGAGGAACAAGAAGAGCCGGAACAAGAAGAGGUUACUGCUGCGGAUGACCUGUCAAUGCUUGACCGAUUACGUCAAGGUGGCCUUGCACAUGUUGAUGCCAAUGAACCCUAUGAGCCCGUCAUUGAUUAUAGUGAUGAUGAUGAUUAUGCAUUUAUUGAUGAUACUGAUCAAGAUUAUUAGUAGUGUCAGGUAUUAGAUUUUUUUUAUGUUGUACUUGAUGAUGAUACACUUAAGUGAUACACAUAUUAUUAUUCAUGUCGGUCUUUUUUUAUGUUGUACUAAUUUCGUUUACUGUUUGUCAUGGCAGGUGUUGAAAGAUGGUGGGCGCUGGUCGGGAGCGUGGUCUGAGGUCUUCCAUUCCAGACACACCUCUCCGCCGAGCGUAGCUGGACAGUAUGGCCACACCGCCGGGCCCUUCUUCGUCGACUGUGGUGCCCAGCAGGGGACGAGGUAGGAAGAGAGGAGGUGGGGCACGUGGUCGUGGGAGAGGAGGUAGGGUGACUGCUACGGUGCCUUCCUCGCCGCCACCCCCAGCCGUUUCACCCGAGCACGUGACUGCUAGGGUGGACUCGUCCGAGGAGGAGGCUACACGGACUCCGGUCCACGAGCCUCCGGUCCAUGGGUCUUCGGCCCACGAGAGUUCGGCCCACGUGACCCCGGAGGAGCACACGUCCGGAUGGGGUACCUGGCCGGAUCAGCCCGAGGAGCCGAGUGGCCAUGCUGAUGAUGGCGGGGAGCCGACUGAUCUUGAGGAGGAGGGGGGCACCGUCUACCAGCGUGGUGCUACACGGCUCCCGUCCGUGCCGGUGACCCGCGAGCAGAGGUGGUUGAUUUUCCCUGAUGGGGAGAGGUACGUAAGUGCAUUUAAUAUUUUUGUACCUUGUGCAUUCACGUUUUUUCAAAUAACUAAUGUGUUGGCCUUGUCAUGCUGCAGGGGUUGGGACCACCAUCAUAGUGUCCGCCGGCCCAACUCCGUCCUUGGAGUUCUUUGCCGGCAAAACUUCCCGGGGUUUGUCACGUUGCCUGGUGAGGGUCGGCUUCCAGAGCUUGGAUGGAGCUGGGAGCACUACGUGGCUGCCCCGGCCCCGCCAAAUGAGAUUAUCGACGGUGUCGUGUGUGACACGAGGGCAGACAUGGUGAUCAGAAAGUUCUGGGUAAUUUCUCCUUUACACAUUUAAAAAUCUUCAACUAGCUAGUUAUUAAUUGUACUAAUCAACAUUGUCUCAUUUGAUUGCAGACAUUCUACAGGUGUGAGGAGGGAUACGAGGAGGACGCGGCACAUGUUAUCGAGAACGUCUGCAAGCGCCUACUCCAGAACUUACGGCACGAGGCUCGGGUGCAGGCUGUUCGAGACUACUACGCCUUGCGUGGUAUCAAGAAGACCAAGCCGGCGUGCCGCGAUAAGUUCCUAAGUAAGGAGCAGUACAUGAAGGUAAUUCUUAAGGCCUUCUCUACUUAAGUUCCUUCAUUUAGUAAUUCUUAGCCGUAGCGCUCAAGUUUCUAUUUGCUAACUUAGGCGCCUCCGAGAUGGUGUGCGGAUCGGAUGGAUUGUUGGGAGGUGUUGGUCGAUGAGUGGUGCUCACAACAAUGGCUAGCCCUCCACAAGGAGGCCAAGGACAAACGUGCCCAAAUGGAAGGUGUGCCACACCAUCAAGGCAGCUCCAACUUAUAUCAGUUCGGGCGCAACUGGGUAUGUGGUUUGCUUCAUGAUUCAUGCAAUUCAUUCAUCAUGCUAGCUUGAGCCCUUUAAUUACUAAUUUUCAUUGUUUCUCUCUUUCAGGCACGCUACAAUAAGGCGGAUAAGGUGCCAGAGGUGUAUGACCUGUAUGCCAUGGCCCACACUGCCUCUUUUAAGAAAGUCAAGGCUUUCUCUCAGUCUGACCUCGAUGAUGCAAACAACUUCACCAACAUCUCCUCCCACAACAAGCUCGUGAGAUAUAGAGAUGAGGGGAAGGCGAGGAAAGGGGAGGACUUUAACCCGAGCCAGGGUCCCAUUGAUCCAGAGCUGUUGAUGAUAUCUGGUGGUGGGAGGUCCCAUGGCUCCAUAGCCAUUGGAGAUGGACUUAUCCGUUGUCCUAGCACUCUCCCGGAGAUCAAGGCGCGCCAGUCGAGCUCCGCUCCUGAGAUAAGGCCUCGUGAACGGCCAGUGCAACUCGCCAUCAAGGUUAGUGAUACGUACUCAGUUAUCUUUCUCCAUUACAUUGUGUGCGCUUCCAUCAAUGAUUACAAAUGGUCAUGUGAGUGGUAUUGCAGGCUGCUAUACAGAGUGAGAGAGAUAGAACGGAGAAACUUCUGGCGGAGGCGGCGGAGAGGCAGCGGGAGUUGGAGGAGAGGAUGACAAAGAUGCUGGAGGAGGAGAGGGCACGGAAUGACAUGCAGGCAAGGGCCAUGUACGAGCUCCUUGUGGUAAGUUUCUUCUGCAGAUUAGCCAAAACAUUCAUGUAGUGUUUGUCUCAUUACUAACUAGUAUGACUGAGUCGUCAAAACCAAUUGUGCAGUCUGUGUGCGAGAAGACAGGUCAGACCGCUCCGCCGAUGCCAGUGAUUGCUCCUGGGACCACGGUGAGUUUUAUUUGAAUGGACAUUACUUGCUAGUCUUAACAUUUGAGUGUCAUCAUGCUAACAAGACAUUGGAAAUGAUCUUUGGUGCAGCAUAACUCCAGACAAGCAUCGCACGAUCCUUCUCCAGCUACCGACACGAGCCACCCCGCUCCUACACCUCCUGGAUCUUGGUAAGUUUAUCUAGUAUUUUGCUUAACACAUGCAUCAAGACCGAGACUUAGCUUUAUUUCCUCCAAUGCUUACCAUAAUGACGUAGACUUAGCUUCUUCUCCUCCAAAAUGACUUAAUUAGCUCUUAAAUGAUCCAUUUCACCUAAGUUUGCUCAAAAACGAUCCAUUUCACCUAAAUUAGCUCUUAAAUGAUCCAUUUCACCUAAGUUUGCUCAAAAACGAUCCAUUUCACCUUAGUUAGCUCAAAAACGAUCCAUUUCACCUAAAUUAGCUCUUAAAUGAUCCAUUUCACCUAAGUUUGCUAAAAACGAUCCAUUUCACCUAAGUUUGCUCAAAAACGAUCCAUUUCACCUAAGUUAGCUCAAAAACGAUCCAUUUCACCUAAAUUAGCUCUUAAACGAUCCAUUUCACCUAAGUUUGCUCAAAAACGAUCCAUUUCACCUAAGUUAGCUCAAAAACGAUCCAUUUUACCUUAGUUAGCUCAAAAACGAUUCAUUUCACCUAGUUAGCUCAAAAACGAUCCAUUUCACCUUAGUUAGCUCAAAAAUGAUGCCCUUCACCUUAGUUAGCUCAAAAACGAUUCAUUUCACCUUAGUUAGCUCAAAAACGAUCCAUUUUACCUAAGUUAGCUCAUAAACGAUCUAUUUUACCUAAGUUAGUUCUAAAAUGAUCCAUUUAACCUUACUUAGCUCAUAAAUGAUCCAUUCUACCGAAGUUAGCUCUAAAAUGACCCAUUUUACCUAGGUUAGCUCCAAAAUGAUCCAUCUUACCUAGGUUACCUCUAAAAUGAUGCAUUUUACCUAAGUUUGCUCAUAAGCGAUCCAUUGCACCUAGGUUAGCUCAUAAACGAUCCAUUUCACCUAAGUUAGCUCACAAAUGAUCAAUUUCACCUAAAUUAGCUCAUAAAUGUCAUAUAUAUUCUUCUUCUUCUUCAUUUUCUUCUUCUUCUUCUUCUAAUCUUCUUCUUCUAACUUUCUUAUUUCCCAUUUUGCAGAAUUCAUUCACUUCACGAAAGCUUGCAUAGAUGGAGUGCUUGUUUGGAUGAACUAUGUUUCCUUUGUAUCUAUGAACUAUGCAUGUAUGGUAGGAUGACACUAUUGUAAUAUGUAUGGUUGGAUGCAUGUAUGUCGAACUUGCUAUGUAUGGUUGAUGGAACUAUGCAUGUAUGAUGAAAUUAUAUGUGUUGG